GCGCGGGUGGCGGAACUGGCAGACGCGCAAGAUUCAGGAUCUUGUGGGGAAACCUCGUGCGGGUUCAAAUCCCGCCCCGCGCA
RNAcentral lists this transfer RNA (83 nucleotides) under Candidatus Omnitrophota bacterium. Its description in RNAcentral is "tRNA-Leu". It matches the Rfam family "tRNA". Rfam says of the family: Transfer RNA (tRNA) molecules are approximately 80 nucleotides in length. Their secondary structure includes four short double-helical elements and three loops (D, anti-codon, and T loops). The record is from RNAcentral. Lineage: Bacteria; Pseudomonadati; Candidatus Omnitrophota.